RNAcentral lists this ribosomal RNA (607 nucleotides) under Candida tropicalis. RNAcentral describes it as "eukaryotic LSU rRNA". It matches the Rfam family "Eukaryotic large subunit ribosomal RNA", at positions 37 to 660 of the family's 3401-position model. The record is from RNAcentral. Lineage: Eukaryota; Fungi; Ascomycota; Pichiomycetes; Serinales; Debaryomycetaceae.
UGCAUAUCAAAAAGCGGAGGAAAAGAAACCAACAGGGAUUGCCUUAGUAGCGGCGAGUGAAGCGGCAAAAGCUCAAAUUUGAAAUCUGGCUCUUUCAGAGUCCGAGUUGUAAUUUGAAGAAGGUAUCUUUGGGUCUGGCUCUUGUCUAUGUUUCUUGGAACAGAACGUCACAGAGGGUGAGAAUCCCGUGCGAUGAGAUGAUCCAGGCCUAUGUAAAGUUCCUUCGAAGAGUCGAGUUGUUUGGGAAUGCAGCUCUAAGUGGGUGGUAAAUUCCAUCUAAAGCUAAAUAUUGGCGAGAGACCGAUAGCGAACAAGUACAGUGAUGGAAAGAUGAAAAGAACUUUGAAAAGAGAGUGAAAAAGUACGUGAAAUUGUUGAAAGGGAAGGGCUUGAGAUCAGACUUGGUAUUUUGUAUGUUACUUCUUCGGGGGUGGCCUCUACAGUUUAUCGGGCCAGCAUCAGUUUGGGCGGUAGGAGAAUUGCGUUGGAAUGUGGCACGGCUUCGGUUGUGUGUUAUAGCCUUCGUCGAUACUGCCAGCCUAGACUGAGGACUGCGGUUUAUACCUAGGAUGUUGGCAUAAUGAUCUUAAGUCGCCCGUCUUGAACC